GAAUUCGCCCUUAGAGUUUGAUCCUGGCUCAGGACGAACGCUGGCGGCGUGCUUAACACAUGCAAGUCGAACGGGCCUUAACGAAUAGAUUACUAUGAGCUAAGGUUAGUGGCGGACGGGUGAGUAACACGUGGAUAACCUACCUGACACAUCGGGAUAACACCGUGAAAACAGUGCUAAUACCGGAUACGUUCUUUAGGGCGCAUGGUCUAAAGAAGAAAGGGGGAACCCGGUGACAGAUGGAUCCGCGGCUGAUUAGCCAGUUGGUGGGGUAAAGGCCUACCAAAGCGACGAUCAGUAGCCGGCCUGAGAGGGUGAACGGCCACACUGGAACUGAGACACGGUCCAGACUCCUACGGGAGGCAGCAGUGGGGAAUCUUCCGCAAUGGGCGCAAGCCUGACGGAGCAACGCCGCGUGGGUGACGAAGGCCUUCGGGUUGUAAAGCCCUGUCAAAUGGGAAGAAAGGAAUGACAGUACCAUAAGAGGAAGCCACGGCUAACUACGUGCCAGCAGCCGCGGUAAUACGUAGGUGGCAAGCGUUGUCCGGAAUUACUGGGCGUAAAGGGCGAGUAGGCGGUUAAUUAAGUCAGGUGUGAAAACUGUGGGCUCAACCCAGAGAGUGCACCUGAUACUGAGUAACUUGAGUGCAGGAGAGGGCAGUGGAAUUCCUAGUGUAGCGGUGAAAUGCGUAGAUAUCAGGAGGAACACCGGUGGCGAAGGCGACUUCCUGGUCCUAUACUGACGCUGAGACGCGAGAGCGUGGGGAGCAAACAGGAUUAGAUACCCUGGUAGUCCACGCCGUAAA
Molecule: ribosomal RNA, 806 nt
Filed under: uncultured bacterium
Lineage: Bacteria
Description: bacterial SSU rRNA
Rfam family: Bacterial small subunit ribosomal RNA
Source: RNAcentral